Molecule: ribosomal RNA, 498 nt
Filed under: uncultured bacterium
Lineage: Bacteria
Description: partial 16S ribosomal RNA
Rfam family: Bacterial small subunit ribosomal RNA
Source: RNAcentral
GACGAACGCUGGCGGCGUGCCUAAUACAUGCAAGUCGAACGAGAGCGACCGGUGCUUGCACUGGUCAAUCUAGUGGCGAACGGGUGAGUAACACGUGGGUAACCUGCCCAUCAGAGGGGGAUAACAUCCGGAAACGGAUGCUAAAACCGCAUAGGUCUUCGAACCGCAUGGUUUGAAGAGGAAAAGAGGCGCAAGCUUCUGCUGAUGGAUGGACCCGCGGUGCAUUAGCUAGUUGGUGAGGUAACGGCUCACCAAGGCCGUGAUGCAUAGCCGACCUGAGAGGGUGAUAGGCCACAUUGGGACUGAGACACGGCCCUAACUCCUACGGGAGGCAGCAGUAGGGAAUCUUCCGCAAAGGACGCAAGUCUGACGGAGCAACGCCGCGUGAGUGAAGAAGGUUUUCGGAUCGUAAAACUCUGUUGUUAGAGAAGAACAAGUGCUAGAGUAACUGUUAGCGCCUUGACGGUAUCUAACCAGAAAGCCACGGCUAACUACGUG